RNAcentral lists this transfer RNA (75 nucleotides) under Candidatus Bathyarchaeota archaeon. RNAcentral describes it as "tRNA-Ile". It matches the Rfam family "tRNA". From Rfam's summary of the family: Transfer RNA (tRNA) molecules are approximately 80 nucleotides in length. The record is from RNAcentral. RNAcentral also lists the same sequence under 3 other names. Lineage: Archaea; Thermoproteati; Candidatus Bathyarchaeota.
GGGCCGGUAGCUCAGCAUGGUUAGAGCGUUCGGCUGAUAACCGAAAGGUCGAGAGUUCAAAUCUCUCCCGGCCCA